UCGAUGAAGAACGCAGCUAGCUGCGAUAAAUAGUGCGAAUUGCAGACGCAUUGAGCACAAAGAUUUCGAACGCACAUUGCGCCAUCGGGUGUUGAUUCCCGAUGGCACGUCUGGCUGAGGGUC
This 123-nucleotide ribosomal RNA is filed under the name Cyrnea seurati. RNAcentral describes it as "partial 5.8S ribosomal RNA". It matches the Rfam family "5.8S ribosomal RNA", at positions 33 to 154 of the family's 154-position model. From Rfam's summary of the family: 5.8S ribosomal RNA (5.8S rRNA) is a component of the large subunit of the eukaryotic ribosome. Lineage: Eukaryota; Metazoa; Nematoda; Chromadorea; Rhabditida; Habronematidae. The record is from RNAcentral.